Molecule: ribosomal RNA, 491 nt
Filed under: uncultured bacterium
Lineage: Bacteria
Description: partial 16S ribosomal RNA
Rfam family: Bacterial small subunit ribosomal RNA
Source: RNAcentral
AGUGAACGCUGGCGGUAGGCCUAACACAUGCAAGUCGAACGGCAGCACAGUAAGAGCUUGCUCUUACGGGUGGCGAGUGGCGGACGGGUGAGGAAUACAUCGGAAUCUACUUUUUCGUGGGGGAUAACGUAGGGAAACUUACGCUAAUACCGCAUACGACCUACGGGUGAAAGCAGGGGAUCUUCGGACCUUGCGCGAUUGAAUGAGCCGAUGUCGGAUUAGCUAGUUGGCGGGGUAAAGGCCCACCAAGGCGACGAUCCGUAGCUGGUCUGAGAGGAUGAUCAGCCACACGGGAACUGAGACACGGUCCAGACUCCUACGGGAGGCAGCAGUGGGGAAUAUUGGACAAGGGGCGCAAGCCUGAUCCAGCCAUACCGCGUGGGUGAAGAAGGCCUUCGGGUUGUAAAGCCCUUUUGUUGGGAAAGAAAAGCAGCAGGUUAAUACCCCGCUGUUCUGACGGUACCCAAAGAAUAAGCACCGGCUAACUUCGG